This 254-nucleotide ribosomal RNA is filed under the name uncultured bacterium. RNAcentral describes it as "partial 16S ribosomal RNA". It matches the Rfam family "Bacterial small subunit ribosomal RNA", at positions 524 to 776 of the family's 1533-position model. The record is from RNAcentral.
UACGUAGGGUGCGAGCGUUAAUCGGAAUUACUGGGCGUAAAGCGUGCGCAGGCGGUUUUGUAAGCCGGAUGUGAAAUCCCCGGGCUUAACCUGGGAAUGGCAUUCGGGACUGCAAGGCUGGAGUGCGGCAGAGGAGACUGGAAUUCCGUGGUGUAGCAGUGAAAUGCGUAGAGAUCAGCAGGAACACCCGUGGCGAAGGCGGCUUCCUGGGCCGCGCCUGACGCUGAGACGCGAAAGCGUGGGGAGCGAACGGG